CUCUUCCGGCGCAGGUUGUUUGAAGUUGGGAAAACGGCUGAAUAAAACAUGAUGAGGAAACCGUCCCCUCUGCUCGGGCGUCAAACACAGCUUAUUCUUCUUUCACUCCAGAGGAGGUCUUCCCUCGGGCUGCGUCUCCAUGCUCGCUGCGGUCGGUUAUGACGUCAGAUUCUGGCUGAGUGAUGUUGCUUAUCUCCUCCUCGCUUCCUGGAGAUGUUCAAGGAGGGUGUCAACCAGAAACGUAAUGAAUAUCUGCAACACCCGGGAUGUGACUGGAGAGUGAACAGCAGUCAUCCUUGGAGAUGAGAACGCACACUUCUUCAAGACAGGCUUUGUAAGUAGACUUUACUCAACAUCAUUUUCUCUCUCUCU
RNAcentral lists this long non-coding RNA (372 nucleotides) under Cyclopterus lumpus (lumpfish). RNAcentral describes it as "lncRNA (ENSCLMG00005013666.1)". The record is from RNAcentral. Lineage: Eukaryota; Metazoa; Chordata; Actinopteri; Perciformes; Cyclopteridae.